RNAcentral lists this ribosomal RNA (465 nucleotides) under uncultured bacterium. RNAcentral's name for it is "bacterial SSU rRNA". It matches the Rfam family "Bacterial small subunit ribosomal RNA", at positions 33 to 507 of the family's 1533-position model. The record is from RNAcentral.
GACGACGCUGGCGGCGUGCUUAAAACAUGCAAGUCGAACGGACUUCUCAUGAAGCUUGCGAUUGAGAAGUUAGUGGCGGACGGGUGAGUAACGCGUGGGCAACCUGCCCCUGAGCCCGGGAUAACAGUUCGAAAAGGACUGCUAAGACCGGAUAUACUUGCGGUGAAGCAUUUCACUGCAAGGAAAGGGAACGCUCAGGGAUGGGCCCGCGUCCCAUUAGCUAGUUGGUGAGGUAACGGCCCACCAAGGCGACGAUGGGUAGCCGGCCUGAGAGGGUGAACGGCCACACUGGGACUGAGACACGGCCCAGACUCCUACGGGAGGCAGCAGUUGGGAAUCUUCGGCAAUGGGCGCAAGCCUGACCGAGCAACGCCGCGUGAGUGAUGAAGGUUUUCGGAUUGUAAAGCUCUGUCUUCCGGGACGAUAAUGACGGUACCGGAGGAGGAAGCCACGGCUAACUACGUG